AUACUGAUAAACCUGCUUCCUUAUGCGACCUGAAGGCUGCUUCCGCUAACCCGGGCUGGCGCUGCUAACCUCACCCAGGGAGCCUGCUGUCGGAAGAUGUCCAGAGGCACCAUCCCUCCUAUGAAGAGGGAAUACCAGUACAACAGCCACAAGGCGUCUUCCUGUGGCUCUCAAACAAAAAUACACUGCAUUAUAUCAGCAGACUGCAUUGGAGAGAAAGGCGCCAGGACAGAAAAGCCUGAGAGAAACCACCUGUCAUUCUUGGAGAAAAGGAUGCUCCGGCUUUCCCGAUUUGGUUGAUGGGAUGGAAAAUCAACCCUUACAGAAAGACAUCACCAAUUCCGGAAAGGAUGCUGCGCCAGUCACGUUUCUGCAUUUGUGAGAGGUUGAAAUCUCCAGAAGUCGCCCAAGGUUUUCAAGCUGAACACGGGAGAAAUGACUCCGGAUCCUUGAGGACUGUUUUCCUCAAUAAGGAGCUGCAAUCUUGGCUCCACGACCCUCUCUCCGAAACAUCUCGGUGUCUGGUAUCUGGUUAUAUUGUGGCCUGAGAGAGAAGUUUCUUUAGGGACCAGUGAAUUAAAAACAAAAACAAAA
Molecule: long non-coding RNA, 594 nt
Organism: Rhinopithecus roxellana (golden snub-nosed monkey)
Lineage: Eukaryota; Metazoa; Chordata; Mammalia; Primates; Cercopithecidae
Exons: 2
Source: RefSeq, a predicted model, not a curated record